RNAcentral lists this ribosomal RNA (662 nucleotides) under uncultured Hyphomicrobiales bacterium. Its description in RNAcentral is "bacterial SSU rRNA". It matches the Rfam family "Bacterial small subunit ribosomal RNA", at positions 9 to 699 of the family's 1533-position model. The record is from RNAcentral. Lineage: Bacteria; Pseudomonadati; Pseudomonadota; Alphaproteobacteria; Hyphomicrobiales.
GAGUUUGAUCAUGGCUCAGAAUGAACGCUGGCGGCAGGCCUAACACAUGCAAGUCGAACGGAGUUAUAUUGUAGCUUGCUAUGGUAUAACUUAGUGGCAGACGGGUGAGUAAUGUAUAGGAAUCUACCUAGUAGUACGGAAUAAUUGUUGGAAACGGCAACUAAUACCGUAUACGCCCUACGGGGGAAAAAUUUAUUGCUAUUAGAUGAGCCUAUAUUAGAUUAGUUAGUUGGUGAGGUAAAGGCUUACCAAGACAAUGAUCUAUAGCUGAUCUGAGAGGAUGAUCAGCCACACUGGAACUGAGAUACGGUCCAGACUCCUACGGGAGGCAGCAGUGGGGAAUAUUGGACAAUGGGCGAAAGCCUGAUCCAGCCAUGCCGCAUGAGUGAAGAAGGCCUUCGGGUUGUAAAGCUCUUUUAGUGAGGAAGAUAAUGACGGUACUCACAGAAGAAGUCCUGGCUAACUCCGUGCCAGCAGCCGCGGUAAUACGGAGAGGGCUAGCGUUAUUCGGAAUCAUUGGGCGUAAAGGGCGCGUAGGCGGGUUAGUAAGUUAAAAGUGAAAUCCCAAGGCUCAACCUUGGAACUGCUUUUAAAACUGCUAGUCUAGAGAUUGAAAGAGGAUAGAGGAAUUCCUAGUGUAGAGAUGAAAUUCGUAAAUAUUA